Syngnathus acus (greater pipefish) is the source of this 500-nucleotide long non-coding RNA. RefSeq lists it as uncharacterized. NCBI's taxonomy places the organism in Eukaryota, Metazoa, Chordata, Actinopteri, Syngnathiformes, Syngnathidae. The record is from RefSeq and is a predicted model, not a curated record. The transcript has 2 exons.
CACAAGCAAGAGACGUACGGCGGCUGGCGGGACCGUCCACACGCUCGCAGAAGCGAGAGCCAGCCGUACGGCGGCUGGCAGGACCGACCGCACGCUCGCCUCGCCUUCCAUCCGGCGCAACGCUUGAUAUGGUUGGCUCCCGUUGCUUUAGUGCCGUUACGUCUACAGUUGACGCACUUCCCGAUUCUGGAACGGUCUCUGGUGACAGGGGUGGCAAAAGGCAGCAAACCUUGGCCCAUCCAAUGGAAAGCAUCCAAAUAAACAAAAGCGUGAAGGCAUUUGACAAUUCAAAUAUUCUUUUGAACAAUCCCAUAUGUUCUUUUGGAAGACUUAAAAAGGGCUGUCGAGUUCACGACGCAGACAUCAACUGUACUCGUGCGUCGGCAGCACGCUCUUCAAAAAUGCUUCCUACACAUGGGUUCAAUUGUUGAGAGCCAACCUUGCAUUUGGUCAAUUCCUGCAGCGUGGGGAAAAGCAGAUCGAAUCUGGCCUGGCCUGGA